Molecule: ribosomal RNA, 497 nt
Filed under: uncultured bacterium
Lineage: Bacteria
Description: partial 16S ribosomal RNA
Rfam family: Bacterial small subunit ribosomal RNA
Source: RNAcentral
GACGAACGCUGGCGGCGUGCCUAAUACAUGCAAGUCGAGCGCACAGUUGAGGAGCUUGCUCCUCUUUCGUUAUCGUUGGUCGGCUUUGUAACACGUGGAUAACCUACCUGUAACACUGGGAUAACUUCGGGUAACGGGGGGUAUUACCGGUGAAUACAUUUACCCACAUGGCUCAAUAGUUAAAGACGCUUGUGCUGUCGCUGAUAGAUGGAUCCGGGCUGCAUUAGUUAGUUGGUAAGGUAACGGCUUACCAAGGCAGCGAUGCAUAGCCGACCUGAGAGGGUGAUCGGCCACACUGGAACUGAGACACGGCCCAGACUCCUACGGGAGGCAGCAGUAGGGAAUCUUCCGCAAUGGACGAAAGCCUGACGGAGCAACGCCGCGUGAGUGAUGAAGGUUUUCGGAUCGUAAAACUCUGUUGUUGGGGAAGAACGUAUGUGUUAGUAACUAUGCAGGUAGUGACGGUACCUAAUCAGAAAGCCACGGCUAACUACGUG